This 328-nucleotide ribosomal RNA is filed under the name uncultured eukaryote. Its description in RNAcentral is "partial 18S ribosomal RNA". It matches the Rfam family "Eukaryotic small subunit ribosomal RNA", at positions 1470 to 1796 of the family's 1831-position model. The record is from RNAcentral.
CCCUUAGAUGUUCUGGGCUGCACGCGCGCUACACUGAAGCGUUCAACGAGUAUUCACCUUGCCCGGGAGGGUUGGGUAAUCUUUUGAAAACGCUUCGUGAUGGGGAUAGAUUAUUGCAAUUAUUAAUCUUCAACGAGGAAUUCCUAGUAAGCGUGAUUCAUCAAAUCGCGUUGAUUACGUCCCUGCCCUUUGUACACACCGCCCGUCGCUCCUACCGAUUGAAUGUGUUGGUGAGGAGCUCGGAUUGGCAGCAGUUGGUGGUUCGCCACCGGCUAUUGCUGAGAAGUCCUCCAAACCGCCCCAUUUAGAGGAAGGAGAAGUCGUAACA